Molecule: ribosomal RNA, 365 nt
Filed under: uncultured bacterium
Lineage: Bacteria
Description: bacterial SSU rRNA
Rfam family: Bacterial small subunit ribosomal RNA
Source: RNAcentral
CGUAGACGAAAGUUACGCUAAUACCGCAUACGAUCUAAGGAUGAAAGCGGGGGAUCGCAAGACCUCGCGCGAUUGGAGCGGCCGAUAUCAGAUUAGGUAGUUGGUGAGGUAAAGGCUCACCAAGCCAACGAUCUGUAGCUGGUCUGAGAGGACGACCAGCCACACUGGAACUGAGACACGGUCCAGACUCCUACGGGAGGCAGCAGUGGGAAUUUGGACAAUGGACGCAAGUCUGAUCCAGCCAUUCCGCGUGCAGGAUGAAGGCCCGUCGGGUUAGUAAACUGCUUUGUACGGAACGAAAAGGUUUGUCUUAAUACGAUGAGCUCAUGACGGUACCGUAAGAAUAAGCACCGGCUAACUACGUG